RNAcentral lists this ribosomal RNA (1343 nucleotides) under uncultured bacterium. RNAcentral's name for it is "16S ribosomal RNA". It matches the Rfam family "Bacterial small subunit ribosomal RNA", at positions 28 to 1378 of the family's 1533-position model. The record is from RNAcentral.
GACGAACGCUGGCGGCGUGCUUAACACAUGCAAGUCGAACGGAAAGGCCCUGCUUUUGUGGGGUGCUCGAGUGGCGAACGGGUGAGUAACACGUGAGUAACCUGCCCUUGACUUUGGGAUAACUUCAGGAAACUGGGGCUAAUACCGGAUAGGAGCUCCUGCUGCAUGGUGGGGGUUGGAAAGUUUCGGCGGUUGGGGAUGGACUCGCGGCUUAUCAGCUUGUUGGUGGGGUAGUGGCUUACCAAGGCUUUGACGGGUAGCCGGCCUGAGAGGGUGACCGGCCACAUUGGGACUGAGAUACGGCCCAGACUCCUACGGGAGGCAGCAGUGGGGAAUAUUGCACAGUGGGCGGAAGCCUGAUGCAGCAACGCCGCGUGCGGGAUGACGGCCUUCGGGUUGUAAACCGCUUUCGCCUGUGACGAAGCGUGAGUGACGGUAAUGGGUAAAGAAGCACCGGCUAACUACGUGCCAGCAGCCGCGGUGAUACGUAGGGUGCGAGCGUUGUCCGGAUUUAUUGGGCGUAAAGGGCUCGUAGGUGGUUGAUCGCGUCGGAAGUGUAAUCUUGGGGCUUAACCCUGAGCGUGCUUUCGAUACGGGUUGACUUGAGGAAGGUAGGGGAGAAUGGAAUUCCUGGUGGAGCGGUGGAAUGCGCAGAUAUCAGGAGGAACACCAGUGGCGAAGGCGGUUCUCUGGGCCUUUCCUGACGCUGAGGAGCGAAAGCGUGGGGAGCGAACAGGCUUAGAUACCCUGGUAGUCCACGCUGUAAACGGUGGGUACUAGGUGUGGGGUCCAUUCCACGGGUUCCGUGCCGUAGCUAACGCUUUAAGUACCCCGCCUGGGGAGUACGGCCGCAAGGCUAAAACUCAAAGGAAUUGACGGGGCCCCGCACAAGCGGCGGAGCAUGCGGAUUAAUUCGAUGCAACGCGUAGAACCUUACCUGGGUUUGACAUGGAUCGGGAGUGCUCAGAGAUGGGUGUGCCUCUUUUGGGGUCGGUUCACAGGUGGUGCAUGGCUGUCGUCAGCUCGUGUCGUGAGAUGUUGGGUUAAGUCCCGCAACGAGCGCAACCCUUGUUCACUGUUGCCAGCACGUUAUGGUGGGGACUCAGUGGAGACCGCCGGGGUCAACUCGGAGGAAGGUGGGGAUGACGUCAAGUCAUCAUGCCCCUUAUGUCCAGGGCUUCACGCAUGCUACAAUGGCUGGUACAGAGAGUGGCGAGCCUGUGAGGGUGAGCGAAUCUCGGAAAGCCGGUCUCAGUUCGGAUUGGGGUCUGCAACUCGACCCCAUGAAGUCGGAGUCGCUAGUAAUCGCAGAUCAGCAACGCUGCGGUGAAUACGUUCCCGGG